GGGCCCGUGGGUUAGCCUGGCCUAUGCUUGGGCGUUUGGGACGCUUAGACUCCGGUUCAAAUCCGGACGGGCCCA
This 75-nucleotide transfer RNA is filed under the name Thermoplasmata archaeon. RNAcentral describes it as "tRNA-Pro". It matches the Rfam family "tRNA". From Rfam's summary of the family: Transfer RNA (tRNA) molecules are approximately 80 nucleotides in length. Their secondary structure includes four short double-helical elements and three loops (D, anti-codon, and T loops). RNAcentral also lists the same sequence under 3 other names. The record is from RNAcentral. Lineage: Archaea; Methanobacteriati; Thermoplasmatota; Thermoplasmata.